Pelobates cultripes (western spadefoot toad) is the source of this 202-nucleotide non-coding RNA. Lineage: Eukaryota; Metazoa; Chordata; Amphibia; Anura; Pelobatidae. The record is from the annotation of a GenBank genome assembly.
UUCUCUUGAUUACCAGGCCACAGCAGAUUUGCAGGUGUGGCAGAAAUUCCUAUGUCAAUGGAAUGGGAAAUCCAUGUUCAUACCUCCUUUUUCCGACAAUUCCCCAAUGCUCUGGUCAGUUGUAGCGGCUUCCCCUGGCUUUGCAGCAAUUUUUGGUGACCAAUGGCUAUGGGGCUGUUGGCUGUCCCAAAUCAGAGCAUAG